CACGUAGGGUGCGAGCGUUGUCCGGAAUUAUUGGGCGUAAAGAGCUCGUAGGCGGUGUGUCGCGUCGGCCGUGAAAACCUGCAGCUUAACUGUGGGCUUGCGGUCGAUACGGGCAUCACUGGAGUUCGGCAGGGGAGACUGGAAUUCCUGGUGUAGCGGUGAAAUGCGCAGAUAUCCGGAGGAACACCAGUGGCGAAGGCGGCUCUCUGGGUCGGACCUGACGCUGAGGCGCGAAAGCGUGGGGAGCGAACGGG
Molecule: ribosomal RNA, 254 nt
Filed under: uncultured bacterium
Lineage: Bacteria
Description: partial 16S ribosomal RNA
Rfam family: Bacterial small subunit ribosomal RNA
Source: RNAcentral